This 308-nucleotide unclassified non-coding RNA is filed under the name uncultured fungus. RNAcentral's name for it is "partial contains 18S rRNA, ITS1, 5.8S rRNA, ITS2 and 28S rRNA". The record is from RNAcentral. Lineage: Eukaryota; Fungi.
AAGGAUCAUUAACUAGUAUUGAAGUCCACGGGGAUCAGGCUUUCCGAAAGGAGGGUGGGGGGAUGUUUGGUUCCCCCUGCUUGGGCAGACUGGAGAGCAUUGUGUAGCCACUUUUGUUGGCUACGUUAUGUUUGGCCUCUGCUGAUCGAGCUUGUCACCUGAAUUCUACUACCCUUGCUUUUUGCGCACCCAUUGUUUCCUCGGUAGGCUUGCCUGCCAGUAGGACCAUUUAAAACCCUUUGUGAUUGCAAUCAGCGUCAGAAACAACGUAAUCGUUACAACUUUCAACAACGGAUCUCUUGGUUCUG